RNAcentral lists this ribosomal RNA (506 nucleotides) under uncultured bacterium. RNAcentral's name for it is "partial 16S ribosomal RNA". It matches the Rfam family "Bacterial small subunit ribosomal RNA", at positions 29 to 523 of the family's 1533-position model. The record is from RNAcentral.
AGUGAACGCUGGCGGUAGGCCUAACACAUGCAAGUCGAACGGCAGCACAGAGGAGCUUGCUCCUUGGGUGGCGAGUGGCGGACGGGUGAGGAAUACAUCGGAAUCUACUCUGUCGUGGGGGAUAACGUAGGGAAACUUACGCUAAUACCGCAUACGACCUACGGGUGAAAGCAGGGGAUCUUCGGACCUUGCGCGAUUGAAUGGGCCGAUGUCGGAUUAGAUAGUUGGCGGGGUAAAGGCCCACCAAGGCGACGAUCCGUAGCUGGUGUGAGAGGGUGAUCAGCCACACUGGAACUGAGACACGAUCCAGACGCCUACGGGAGGCAGCAGUGGGGAAGAUUGGACAAUGGGCGCAAGCCUGAUCCAGCCAUACCGCGUGGGUGAAGAAGGCCUUCGGGUUGUAAAGCCCUUUUGUUGGGAAAGAAAUCUUCUGGGCUAAUACCCCGGGAGGAUGACGGUACCUGAAGAAUAAGCACCGGCUAACUACGUGCCAGCCGCCGCAGUAA